GUCCUAGCAGUAAACGAUGGCCACUAGGUGUGGGGGUGUUGACCCCUUCCGUGCCGAAGCUAACGCAUUAAGUGGCCCGCCUGGGGAGUACGGUCGCAAGACUAAAACUCAAAGGAAUUGACGGGGACCCGCACAAGCAGCGGAGCGUGUGGUUUAAUUCGAUGCGACGCGAAGAACCUUACCAAGGCUUGACAUGUGUUCGCAACUCUUGGAAACAAGAGCCUCCGCAAGGACGGAUACACAGAUGCUGCAUGGCUGUCGU
This 262-nucleotide ribosomal RNA is filed under the name uncultured bacterium. Its description in RNAcentral is "partial 16S ribosomal RNA". It matches the Rfam family "Bacterial small subunit ribosomal RNA", at positions 793 to 1055 of the family's 1533-position model. The record is from RNAcentral.